RNAcentral lists this ribosomal RNA (487 nucleotides) under uncultured bacterium. Its description in RNAcentral is "bacterial SSU rRNA". It matches the Rfam family "Bacterial small subunit ribosomal RNA", at positions 501 to 987 of the family's 1533-position model. The record is from RNAcentral.
CUACGUGCCAGCAGCCGCGGUAAUACGUAGGGUGCGAGCGUUAAUCGGAAUUACUGGGCGUAAAGCGGGCGCAGACGGUUACUUAAGCAGGAUGUGAAAUCCCCGGGCUCAACCUGGGAAUUGCGUUCUGAACUGGGUGGCUAGUGUGUGUCAGAGGGGGGUAGAAUUCCACGUGUAGCAGUGAAAUGCGUAGAGAUGUGGAGGAAUACCGAUGGCGAAGGCAGCCCCCUGGGAUGGCACUGACGUUCAUGCCCGAAAGCGUGGGUAGCAAACAGGAUUAGAUACCCUGGUAGUCCACGCCCUAAACGAUGUCGAUUAGCUGUUGGGCAACUUGAUUGCUUGGUAGCGAAGCUAACGCGUGAAAUCGACCGCCUGGGGAGUACGGUCGCAAGAUUAAAACUCAAAGGAAUUGACGGGGACCCGCACAAGCGGUGGAUGAUGUGGAUUAAUUCGAUGCAACGCGAAGAACCUUACCUGGUCUUGACAU